AGUGAACGCUGGCGGUAGGCCUAACACAUGCAAGUCGAACGGCAGCACAGUAAGAGCUUGCUCUUACGGGUGGCGAGUGGCGGACGGGUGAGGAAUACAUCGGAAUCUACUUUUUCGUGGGGGAUAACGUAGGGAAACUUACGCUAAUACAGCAUACGACCUACGGGUGAAAGCAGGGGAUCUUCGGACCUUGCGCGAUUGAAUGAGCCGAUGUCGGAUUAGCUAGUUGGCGGGGUAAAGGCCCACCAAGGCGACGAUCCGUAGCUGGUCUGAGAGGAUGGUCAGCCACACUGGAACUGAGACACGGUCCAGACUCCUACGGGAGGCAGCAGUGGGGAAUAUUGGGCAAUGGGCGCAAGCCUGAUCCAGCCAUACUGCGUGGGUGAAGAAGGCCUUCGGGUUGUAAAGCCCUUUUGUUGGGAAAGAAAAGCAGCAGGUUAAUACCCCGCUGUUCUGACGGUACCCAAAGAAUAAGCACCGGCUAACUUCGUG
RNAcentral lists this ribosomal RNA (492 nucleotides) under uncultured bacterium. RNAcentral's name for it is "partial 16S ribosomal RNA". It matches the Rfam family "Bacterial small subunit ribosomal RNA", at positions 29 to 507 of the family's 1533-position model. The record is from RNAcentral.